Molecule: ribosomal RNA, 261 nt
Filed under: Cyphomyrmex rimosus
Lineage: Eukaryota; Metazoa; Arthropoda; Insecta; Hymenoptera; Formicidae
Description: partial large subunit ribosomal RNA
Source: RNAcentral
GAAUUUUAUAUAAAUUUAUUUAAAGAUUUAAUAGUAAUAUUAUAUAUAUAUAUAUAAUAAAAAAGUUAAAUUUAAUUAUAAAUAAAGUUUAUAUUUAAUUGGGAGGAUUUUUAAAAUAAAUAAACUUUAAAGUUAAAAUUAUUACAUAGAUAAAUGAAUUAAUUAAAUAAAAAGAAUGAUUAAUAGAUUAAUAGAGAAAUAAUUACCUUAGGGAUAACAGCGUAAUAUUUUUGGAUAGAUCAUAUAAAUAAAAAUGAUUGC